UCCGCCGCCGCCUCCCGGCCCCGCCGCCACCGCCGCCGCCGCCGCCGCUGCCGCCGGGCAGGUUUAUGUUUCCUAACAAGAUUAUGGCUGAAUUAGGAGUUCUUUCAGAAACAAGAGAACGCCUUCACCUAAGAAACAAUGUAAGAAAUUGGUUGUAAUACUAGAGCCUUGGAGAAUUUAGUCACACGGGGGAAGUAUUCUCCCCAGGGAUCUUGAACGUAUUGCCGAAGGAGAGAGUGAGCUCUCCGUCAGACUGGGCAUAACAUCUCUGCCCCCAGUAAAAGUCAGGUCACAUCCCCUGAGCACCAAGGGACACUCCUCUUCUUGAAAUACACCUUCCUUCUAUAUGAUCAAGGGGGCAGAGGGUUCAGCCUUAGCUCUAAUUAUCUAAAGGGUUUCUGUGCUCGCAUAUUUGGAUAGUGUAAAAUGAAGUUCAUCCAAACAGGGAACCAAGACAUCUCUUGUAGUUUUUUAGAGUCGGAAAAUGCUUUUUUUUUUUUUUUACAUCAGAUUUGUCCCUGAAUGUUUUCAAGAACUUUAGUAACAAAGAAAAACAGCAAACAUCUGAUUUUUGCCAGUGAAAUUUAAGACAUGUUGUAAAACUAGGAAUUAAAAAUCUUUAAAUUAAAUUUUGAAACUUGGAGUUAACUUGGAGUUAAACUAUUGAAUACAUUUUUAGAAUGCUACUUGCAUAAAAGGAUACUCUCACGUGAUAAGGGUGGCCUUAUAGGAUAAUCUCAGAGCCAAAGACGAAAGAAAAGGAAUCUUCCCUGCUUUAUAACAGUGUGUUUUAAUGUGUAGCCUUCAAUUCCCUAAUUCAAAAAUCAUACAUUUUGAAGACAGCAAGAGACUCUUGAGCUCCCACUCGGGCUGAUGGUUGCUACUAACUCCCACUCGUCCCAUGAAAUCUUCCAGGGCUGAUUAGCCUCGUGUUUUCUCAACCUCAGAAUAUCUCACCUCUCAGUUCCAACCUCUGAACCUUAAAUUAGAGCAAAUACCAAACUGCCUGGCCAAGACUGCAGCCCCUCAGUCUCAGCAGAAUCGAGAAGCAAAAUCAAGAAGCAACAUGUCAUCUAAAGUGACAAGAAGCUCUUCACAGUACAUACUGAUUCUACUCACGAAUACACGUAUGUUUUGUUACAGAAACAGAAUUGUGUUUGACUAUGGGAUCAAUUGCUGCAUCAAGGCUGGCUUUAGUACACUAUAUAAACGUAUAAGUAUAUGGAUGAUAUAUAUCAGUCUGUAAGUAAUAUACUAUAUAAGCUUUCAAAAAUUAUAAAGUUCAAAACACAUUUAAAAAAAAACAUAUUUGGCCUGUAGGGUCUCAGAUAAUGGAUUAUGGACCUGCCUUCCUAGUAAAUUAAACUCACCAGAUUUCCUUUGAAGUAAUCCAGCAAAGGACAAUUUAUCUACAAUAAAAAUCCACUAAUUUGAAAUGUAUAAUUUGAUGAGCUUUGAGAAAUUUGUGAACAAGUACCGCAAUCAUGUAUAGAACAUCUCCAUCUGUUCAGAAAAUUUCCUUGGACCCCCCUUGGACCCCUUUCUAGUCAAUUCUUUCCCCAACUCCCAGAC
Long non-coding RNA from Lutra lutra (Eurasian river otter), 1572 nucleotides. RefSeq lists it as uncharacterized. The record is from RefSeq and is a predicted model, not a curated record. The transcript has 4 exons. NCBI's taxonomy places the organism in Eukaryota, Metazoa, Chordata, Mammalia, Carnivora, Mustelidae.